RNAcentral lists this ribosomal RNA (1497 nucleotides) under uncultured prokaryote. RNAcentral describes it as "partial 16S ribosomal RNA". It matches the Rfam family "Bacterial small subunit ribosomal RNA". The record is from RNAcentral.
AGGGUUUGAUCAUGGCUCAGGAUGAACGCUAGCGGCAGGCCUAACACAUGCAAGUCGAGGGGUAACAGAAGAAGCUUGCUUCUUGCUGACGACCGGCGCACGGGGGCGUAACGCGUAUGCAACUUACCCUUAACAAAAGGAUAGCCCCGAGAAAUCGGGAUUGAUACUUUAUAAUAUCAAACUUUCGCAUGUUAGUUUGAUUAAAGCUCCGGCGGUUAAGGAUGAGUAUGCGUCCUAUUAGCUAGUUGGUGAGGUAACGGCUCACCAAGGCAACGAUAGGUAGGGGGUCUGAGAGGAUUAUCCCCCACACUGGUACUGAGACACGGACCAGACUCCUACGGGAGGCAGCAGUGAGGAAUAUUGGGCAAUGGACGAAAGUCUGACCCAGCCAUGCCGCGUGCAGGAUGACUGCCCUAUGGGUUGUAAACUGCUUUUAUAUAGGAAGAAACUUUUCUACGUGUAGAAAACUGACGGUACUAUUUGAAUAAGGACCGGCUAACUCCGUGCCAGCAGCCGCGGUAAUACGGAGGGUCCAAGCGUUAUCCGGAUUCAUUGGGUUUAAAGGGUCCGUAGGCGGGCUUUUAAGUCAGAGGUGAAAGCCUGCAGCUCAACUGUAGAACUGCCAUUGAAACUGGAACUCUUGAAUGUGAUUGAAGUGGGCGGAAUAUGUCAUGUAGCGGUGAAAUGCUUAGAUAUGACAUAGAACACCGAUAGCGAAGGCAGCUCACUAAGUCAUGAUUGACGCUGAUGGACGAAAGCGUGGGGAGCGAACAGGAUUAGAUACCCUGGUAGUCCACGCCGUAAACGAUGAUCACUAGCUAUUGGCGAUACACAGUCAGUGGCACAGCGAAAGUGUUAAGUGAUCCACCUGGGGAGUACGAUCGCAAGGUUGAAACUCAAAGGAAUUGACGGGGGCCCGCACAAGCGGUGGAGCAUGUGGUUUAAUUCGAUGAUACGCGAGGAACCUUACCAGGGCUUAAAUGCAGAACGACAGAUUGAGAAAUCAACUCUCUUCGGAACUAUUUACAAGGUGCUGCAUGGUUGUCGUCAGCUCGUGCCGUGAGGUGUCGGGUUAAGUCCCAUAACGAGCGCAACCCCUAUCGUUAGUUGCUAGCAGGUAAUGCUGAGGACUCUAGGAAGACAAACCUCUUCUGAGAGUGGGAAGGUGGGGAUGACGUCAGGUCAGUAUGGCCCUUACGUCCAGGGCUGCACACGUGCUACAAUGCCUGGCCCAAUUGGAAGCAAUACCGCGAGGUGGAGCAAAUCCGUAAAACCAGGCUCAGUUCGGAUUGGAGUCUGCAACUCGACUCCAUGAAGUUGGAAUCGCUAGUAACGGCGUAUCAGCAAUGACGCCGUGAAUACGUUCCCGGGCCUUGUACACACCGCCCGUCACAUCAUGAAAGUCGGUCUUGCCCGAAGUAUGUGAGCUAACCGCAAGGAGACAGCGUCCUAAGGUGGGGCUGGUGAUUGGGAUGAAGUCAUAACAAGGUAACCGUA